CCUAUACAUGCAGUCGAGCGGACAGAAGGGAGCUUGCUCCCGGAUGUUAGCGGCGGACGGGUGAGUAACACGUGGGUAACCUGCCUGUAAGACUGGGAUAACUCCGGGAAACCGGAGCUAAUACCGGAUAGUUCCUUGAACCGCAUGGUUCAAGGAUGAAAGACGGUUUCGGCUGUCACUUACAGAUGGACCCGCGGCGCAUUAGCUAGUUGGUGAGGUAACGGCUCACCAAGGCGACGAUGCGUAGCCGACCUGAGAGGGUGAUCGGCCACACUGGGACUGAGACACGGCCCAGACUCCUACGGGAGGCAGCAGUAGGGAAUCUUCCGCAAUGGACGAAAGUCUGACGGAGCAACGCCGCGUGAGUGAUGAAGGUUUUCGGAUCGUAAAGCUCUGUUGUUAGGGAAGAACAAGUGCAAGAGUAACUGCUUGCACCUUGACGGUACCUAACCAGAAAGCCACGGCUAACUACGUGCCAGCAGCCGCGGUAAUACGUAGGUGGCAAGCGUUGUCCGGAAUUAUUGGGCGUAAAGGGCUCGCAGGCGGUUUCUUAAGUCUGAUGUGAAAGCCCCCGGCUCAACCGGGGAGGGUCAUUGGAAACUGGGAAACUUGAGUGCAGAAGAGGAGAGUGGAAUUCCACGUGUAGCGGUGAAAUGCGUAGAGAUGUGGAGGAACACCAGNNGCCAAGGCGANNCUCUGGUCUGUNNCUGACGCUCAGGAGCGUAAGCGCGGGGAGGCGAACAGGGGUUAGAUACCCCUGGGUAGGCCCUCGCUCGUAUACGCAUGAGUNNCUACCUUUCGAUGGGGCGUUCCCCCCCNUAAAGGCCGCUAACCAC
This 836-nucleotide ribosomal RNA is filed under the name Bacillus sp. (in: firmicutes). RNAcentral describes it as "bacterial SSU rRNA". It matches the Rfam family "Bacterial small subunit ribosomal RNA", at positions 48 to 860 of the family's 1533-position model. Lineage: Bacteria; Bacillati; Bacillota; Bacilli; Caryophanales; Bacillaceae. The record is from RNAcentral.